This 22-nucleotide non-coding RNA is filed under the name Arabidopsis thaliana (thale cress). Lineage: Eukaryota; Viridiplantae; Streptophyta; Magnoliopsida; Brassicales; Brassicaceae. The record is from RNAcentral.
CCGCCAAAACUUCAGCAAGGAC